GGGGUUGUAGCUCAGUGGUAGAGUGCUUGCCUAGCAUGCAUGAGGCACUGGGUUCGAUUCCU
This 62-nucleotide transfer RNA is filed under the name Ictidomys tridecemlineatus (thirteen-lined ground squirrel). Its description in RNAcentral is "Spermophilus tridecemlineatus (thirteen-lined ground squirrel) tRNA". It matches the Rfam family "tRNA", at positions 1 to 61 of the family's 71-position model. Rfam says of the family: Transfer RNA (tRNA) molecules are approximately 80 nucleotides in length. Lineage: Eukaryota; Metazoa; Chordata; Mammalia; Rodentia; Sciuridae. The record is from Rfam by way of RNAcentral.